Molecule: ribosomal RNA, 433 nt
Filed under: uncultured bacterium
Lineage: Bacteria
Description: partial 16S ribosomal RNA
Rfam family: Bacterial small subunit ribosomal RNA
Source: RNAcentral
AACGAACGCUGGCGGCAGGCCUAACACAUGCAAGUCGAGCGCGCCCUUCGGGGUGAGCGGCGGACGGGUGAGUAACGCGUGGGAACGUGCCCUUUUCUGCGGAAUAGCCUCGGGAAACUGAGAGUAAUACCGUAUACGCCCUUUGGGGGAAAGAUUUAUCGGAAAAGGAUCGGCCCGCGUUGGAUUAGGUAGUUGGUGGGGUAAUGGCCUACCAAGCCGACGAUCCAUAGCUGGUUUGAGAGGAUGAUCAGCCACACUGGGACUGAGACACGGCCCAGACUCCUACGGGAGGCAGCAGUGGGGAAUCUUAGACAAUGGGGGCAACCCUGAUCUAGCCAUGCCGCGUGAGUGAUGAAGGCCUUAGGGUUGUAAAGCUCUUUCAGCUGGGAAGAUAAUGACGGUACCAGCAGAAGAAGCCCCGGCUAACUCCGUG